This is a long non-coding RNA of Hemicordylus capensis (graceful crag lizard), 3327 nucleotides long. RefSeq lists it as uncharacterized. The transcript is spliced from 4 exons. The record is from RefSeq and is a predicted model, not a curated record. NCBI's taxonomy places the organism in Eukaryota, Metazoa, Chordata, Lepidosauria, Squamata, Cordylidae.
GCAGGUGGGCAAUGGGGUGGGGGUGGCAGGAACUGGCAUGGCGUCCCCACCUCAGUGGUGCCUAGGGCACGUGCCCUGCCUGCCCCCCCCCCAGUUCUGCCUAUCCCAAUUUGUGAACCUCCAUCCAUUCAGAUCAAAUUUUGCAAUGAUGUUCUUUCUUGACUUUUGUUUUGUUCUAGUAGGCUUCUGUUCUUUUUAGCUAAUUACCAUAGUCCUGCCUAGGAGCAUGUGAGGAGGAUAACCCAGAGAGAUGUCCUUGACUCUAGCAGCCAGAAGAAGCCUUCACGAAACGGGGCCUCAGUGCCAAAUGGAAGGCAGAGGAAUUUCCUAGAGAAGACACUUCAGCAUGCAAUUAGGGGGAAAACACGUGGGGAGCAGGGAGGGCAGGACAGGGAUGAGUCCCCCGCUGGUGCUUUGAUACUUGGAGCUGCAUCCCUGAGACACAGAAUGGAUUCAAACCAGAGCCAGCGUGGCCAGUAACUGAUCUGGUGACCUCACAGUCAGCCACAGAAUUCUGCAAUCAUGUUUCCCCUUGGAGACCAGCAAGGAUUCUUCCAGAGGCUCACUUGGCAACCAUCUAGAGAAGCGGUAGCAACUUGUACAAGUUAGCUGUCUUGGGCAAUCAGAUUGAUCCCCAACUUCUCCUCGUAGCUCAGUCGGUUGUCAAGAUGGGUGGCUGUUGUUCCUGGGCCAUCUGCAGGUCCUUUUGUACUUCCCAGCACUCUGGGUGAAAAACCAACAGGGGCAAUCUCAGAUCCCGUACCCUUCCCUGGGCAUUGCAUCCCCUCAAACACUCCAUGUCAAGAACCAGAGGAGGAAGACUCAGUGCCAGCCCUCCGCCCAGAGCCUUCCACCCCCUUGGACAACCCAGGACUAAAACCAGAGGAGGCAAAGUCAGUGCCAGAACAGCACUCGGGACUUUGUUAUCACCUCUGACCUUCUUGGAGAAGAAAGAAAGGAGGACACCUCAAUGGCAGAACCCUUCCCAGGGCCUCCCAUCAAAUCCAACACAGCGGGAGAAGUAGCAGAGGAGGAACCAUCAGGGCCAACCCUCCAUGAAGGACCUUCCAUCUGUUCGGACCUUCCAUCUGCUCGGACUUUCCAGCAAGACCAAAGGAGGAACCAUCAGUGGAAUGACUCCAUGAAGAACCUUCCAUCCACGCCGGCACUCGCGCAAAGGCCCAAAGGAGGAGGAAGCCUCACUCCCAGGACCCCCACCCAGGGCCCUCCAUUCCAUCAGAUGCUCCAGGAGGAGAAUUAGAAGAGGCAAGUUCUCAGCCAGGACUGUGCCAAGGGGCUUCCGUCCCCUCACCACUCUGGUGGAAGAGCCAGAAGAGGAAACCUCAGAGCGUUCCUUUUCUGCCAAGGAUCUUCAUCCAGAGCUGGGAAUUCUGAGUAGGUUGCAGAUCAAGUAUGUAGAACAGUAACUGAAGCUUCACUGCAUUGCCCAACCCUCCUUUCUCUUUGUCUGGGGCCUCGACCACCGAGGCCCUAACACGCGGACAAGAUUCUACAAGAGUAGAAGCCAGCUCCCGAGGAGGGAAAGGGAAGGUACAUUCACAGCACAAAUUGCUGCUGGGCUAGAAAUGGCUCUUUAGCUCCUGAUUCCUCCUCCUGAAUCUUGAAAUGUUUGAAUGACUAGGAGGGGAGGCCUGUGAGUGGAUUGUCAGUGCUUGCCGAAGUGUUUCUUCAUAUUUAGUCUUUCAGGUGACCAAGUUGUGACGGUCACAAUGAAAGCAGCUUCUUCUGGUGAGUACUGAAGGUAAGUGAUGGUGGGUGCAGUAGGAUGCCUGCCUUUGUAGCUGACCUUCUGCUUCUUCUCCACUCUUAAAGAUGUCCCUGCCAGACCUGCCGCAUGUUUCCAGCCCCAGGAUCCAGUUCCUUGCCCUCUUCUGCCUCCCUGGUGGUUGCCUCCAUCCCACCCUCCACCUCCAGCUCCCGGAUCCCUCUUCCCCUCCUCCUCUAGAGCCAGAUAGCAGCAAUCUCAAAGAAACUUUGCACAGUUGAAUGGAGUUACAGGUCCAUCAGCUACAUGACUGUCAGCCUCACAAAGUCAGUAUUGCAUUACCCCGACCUUUUACAUUCUCAUUUGACAAUCUAAAAAACGUACAGUAUCAAAACAGAGGCAGGGAAGUAAUAGAAGGAGCAGGAAGCUAAGGCACUGGGCAAGUGUGUGUGUGUGUGUGGGGGGGUGUGUCUGUAUUUCUGCUGCCCUACACCUCCUUAGGAUCAGGGAAACCCACGCUGGGCUUCCCAUUCAGCCAUGAACCUCGCUGAGGGACUUUGGGCCACUCAGUUGUCCCACAGCCUUACCUACCUCUUAGGGUUGUUGUGAGGAUAAAAUGACCAGGUAUAUCUCCCUGAGCUGCUUGGAGGAAGAGCAGACUACGAAUGUGAAAAAGCAGAACAAGAUCAGCCCUUUUGAGUUCAAGCUGGGAUGAAACAGGAAGGAGGAUCGACAUACAAUUGCGCUAAUAGCGAUCCUCCUUAUAGGGUCAUCAAUGCACAGGAGCAAAAGUUCCCUGCCCCUAAGAGCUUAGAUUCUGGCUUUGGAGAGAGGAGUGAGAAGGAGGAGGAAUGGGAGAGGAAAGCAUAAAGAGCCUUCAGUUCCAGCAGAUGGAGCUACCUCUGCUGAGGCAUUAAGCCAAAAGAUGUGCAGAGGAGGUGAGUUUUCAGGUGGCAUUGUGAGGACAGGAGCCAGAAGUGGGCAUACCUCUGGGUGGCUGUUCCAGACCCAAGAGUUAUCGAGAGAGAAGGGAAAUAGUCAUCUCAGAGAGCAAGAGACCUUCAGGAGGCUGAAGGCAGUUGGCGGAGCAAAGACCACCCUGAUGGCAUGCAAGUUGGGAGGGAGGGGUCAGUGCAGAGCAAGAGGGUGGGAAAUAUCCAUGGAGGGUUUUCCAGGUCGGGAUGAGGAGUCUGUGCUGGGCAUGGAAGGGGGCAAGAAGUCAGUGCAGGGACUAGUAAUAUGGGGGGAGGGACCCUCACCCUGUUGCUUUUCUUUUGUUCCAGGCCAAAGAGACUGUCCAGAGCUGCCGAAAAUGCCUGCAGAACGUCAAGGCUUGACGUCAUGGGCCUCCUGGAAAUGGCCUUUUUUCAGAUAUUGUAUGUGCAGUCCAAAAAAAAAUUUAAAUCCAGUUUUUAUUGGGUCAGGGUUAGGGUGAUAUUCUAUUAAUUUUAUUGGUUUUAUCUGCUUUCCUGUUUUGUGUGUAUGCUUAUACUGUUUUUAUCUUUUCAUCUGUUGUAUUGUUCUGCUAUGAUUGCCCUCAGCAGUAUUGCAUUGGAGGGCCAGGAUAUAAAUAUUGCCAAUAAAAUAUAUUUAAAGAGCCA